RNAcentral lists this long non-coding RNA (4413 nucleotides) under Ornithorhynchus anatinus (platypus). RNAcentral's name for it is "lncRNA (ENSOANG00000040555.1)". Lineage: Eukaryota; Metazoa; Chordata; Mammalia; Monotremata; Ornithorhynchidae. The record is from RNAcentral.
AUGAGUUGGAGAGCAAAAAAAAAAAAAAAAGAAAGAAAUCAAAUGUCUGGGCUGCCGUUAUCUAUAGGUCGCGGGAUCGUCUCUUUAGUCCCAGUGGCCAGAUUGACAGUUCCUACCGCUACUAAGCCGCUUCUUGCCGGGCUCCGUGACAAGGAGAGAAUGCUCAGAAACCCAGCAAGACGUGGGGAGGUGGUAGCCAGAGCAGUGGGUGACCUGUCGGUCCUAUGCAGAGCUGGAGACACAGAGUUGGGCCGGAACACCUGAAAAUCACCACCGGUUUGGGAGGGACGUCUUGGUGUUCAGAUAGCCACACCAACGACAGACUGUGGUCCGUUGAAGUUGCCAAGACAGAACAUUUCUUCACGUGAGUUUCUUGCCAAGGCGAAUUUCUUAACGCCACCUUGAAGGGGCGUGACCCCUUAGACCACUCACAUCUUUCUGUUUUUAAAUAGAUGAUCGGUCUUCCUCCGAUUCCCAUUUCAGCUGUCGCUGUCAAACUUGCGUCUAGAAGGAAAGGGGAAAAGCUGCUGGAAAUACAAAUGAGUCAGCAUCAGCGUUCUAGCUCUAUUUUCUGGACACAGCGGGAGUAAAAAUGGUGACCCUUAGCCACCGCGGGUCAAAGAAUUAUUGCACUCAAGCACCCAACCAUCCUGCUAGAGGAGGCUUAACAUUUUCAAUUAGUUUUCCGGAGCUUUUGGUUAGUAUUCACUCCCUUCUGUUGCAAGGUUAUUGAAGUGCUAGGAAUGCAAAGCUAAAUAAUUUUAUGACAAGAGGAGUGUUUCUAACAAGGGAAUUCAAUUUGUCGUCGAAAAAAUAACUUGGGCAGAGGAAGGAAGUGGAGGAGUGAUGUUGAUUCACAUGAAUGAGGACAUAAAUACCUUUAUAAACCAAUCUUCAGAGGAACGGACAUUUUCUUAUCGGUUCACUGGGGUAAAAUACAGAUUUAUACCAAAGUAAAAAUAGCAUAAAGGUUAUUUAAUUCUGCCUUCAAAUAGUUUCAGAUAACACAAAUGCCACACAGAACCCUCCAAAUACUACAGUCCAGAGGAUUAUUUUGGGGGGAUUAUAGUUUAAUACCAGUUCAAGGAUUUUUCCAGUUUACCAGUUGAUUUAGUUCCUGAAAUACCUCUCAUGUAUUCACCAAAUGGGCACAUCUCUCUUAUCUUCUAAGUCAGGAUUUUGACUUCUCAUAAUUGACUUCUUUCCAUCUUGUGUCGCACCUGCUCAGUCAAAAAAUAAAUUGUAUCGCCCCUCCCUUUCCGACACCGCCUGCAUCCACGGCUCAAUCCUUCAUUCGCACCAAGGAACAGCGUGGUUGAUCAUCUGAUUCAUUAUCUUCGUUUCCUUCUGUUUUCCCCUUGCUCCCUGGGUUCCACCCGCAUCAAUCCUUGCCUCUCCUCCUCCCACCCUACGUUGUGCCCUCAAAACUUUCUCGGUCAUGGAGCUUUGCCUUAUGGGUUCUGGUCCAAAAUGGAAGCCAUCGGCCCAAGUUAUGACUCUUGUCCCAAUUAUUCAGACGGGCUCUACAGUCCAAGUGCCGAGCGCACCGACCACACCAAGUCGGCGUUCAUUCAAUGCUAGGGCUGCUACUGACAUAUGCUCUGAAUCUCUACCCAAUAGAGCAUCUUGCCAACGGCAAGACAAGAAGUGAUGUAGAAUGAACAGUCACUUAAAAAUGACUUUGGGAAGUUCACAACGAUAACAGCUUGUUCGUUUAACCUGAAAGUCAUCCAUUGCUUCUGCUAGCAGUUUCUGGAAAGCUCUUCCUGGGGCAAUCUUUUCCAUUUGGAUUAUACUCGAGUUUCAUGUGCUCAAUUAGGGCGGUCAGACCCCCUAUUAUGGUACUUUGGUAAGCACUUACUAUGUGACGGGCACUUUUCUCAUUUAUUAAUGUAUUAAUUCAUUUAUAUGAUGUAUUUCUGCUAAUGUGCCUCCCCCUUUAGACAGUAAACUCUUUACGGGAAGGGAUAUGUCUGUAUAUUGUGAUACUGUACUCUCCCAAGUGUUUAGUCCAGUGCUGUGCACGUAGUAAGCGCUCAAUAAAUACCAUUGAAGGGCUGAAGGAAUGAGUUCUAAGCAUUGGGGUAGAUACAAGGUAAUCAGCUGAAGAGAGUCCACGUCCCCCAUGGGACUCACAGUCUUAAUCUUCAUUUUACAGAUGAGGUAACUGAGGCUCAGAGAAGUUAAGUGACUUGCCCAAGCUCACACAGGGGGCAAGUGGCAGAGCUGGGAUCGAAGCCCAGGUCCUACUGAAUCCCAGGCCUGUGCUCUCUCCACUAGGCCAUGCUGCUUCUCUUGAAACAGCGUAGCUCCUCAGAUAUACCCUUCCCGGUGUAUGAAUUUGUAUACAGCUGUCGACUGGAAAAUAAUAAUGAAGAGUUUCAAUUAGUUUUUAUUGCCUGGAUUGAAUUUUCUUUGAAAGUUUCAAGCUGGGAGGAAUAAUCAGUCUCCGCCAUCAUCUCUCCCUGUUUUAGUUCAGCGGAAGAGGAUUGGGACGUCCUUCUUUACCUUAAUGGUAUUUAUUUAGCUCUCUGUAUGUCGAAGGCACUGUACUAAACACUGGGUAGGUACAAGAUAAUCGGAUUGGACACAUUCCCCGUCCCACUGCUUCCUACGCUGCUGAAUAGGGACGCCUUAAUUCUGAUCUCUGGAUAGCUGUGAUGCAUGCAGAGAAUUGCACCAUUAUAUUUCUUGUCGAAAUUCACAUCCAUCGAUCACUUAAUCAGUGAUAUUUAUUGAGCGUCUCCUCGGUGCUCAACUUAGGGGACAGUCCAAUGGUGGUGAAAGACAACCACCUCCAAAUCAUCGACCUUGGUGGGGACGGGAGGAAGCAGAAGGUUUAAACAGAUUGUAACAAGAAUGUGUAAACAGCAAAGAAGGUAAUGUUACUUUACAGUGGUGCUGAGGGUGGGUAUAAAAUGGUAAAUGAUAAAGGUGGCUACCGGGGUGUUCCGAAUUGGAUUGUUGGAAAUUAAUAGAAGAAGGCUUCCUGGAGGAGGUGGGAUUUUAGGAUGGCUUUGAGGAUGGGGAGAGGUUGUGGUCAGGUGUUUGGAUGCUUCGUAUGAUCUGUUAAAUUGUUUUUUUUCAUAAAUUGGAGGUAGGCUAUGCGUUAAGGAAUUUUUUGUAUCCAUGAUGCCACAUAGCUCACAUUUCUUAAGUCAGCUUGCUUAGCAUAUUUAGUCUCUGAGAAACUGAGAACAGUUUACCGUUUCACUUCACCUCUCAAUAUCAGAUGAGCAAAAAGUUUCAUUCUGAAUUUUUUUUUCAAAGGCGAGUUAUUUGUGACUCCACCGCUGAACUAGCUGGGAAAGCUCUUGAAACUGGCUUCUGCUGCCCUUAAGGUUACAUAUUUUACUUGAAGGUUUUUCUCAGAAUAAUGGUUAAUUGGUUCAUUCUCAAUGGGAAGAAAUGUCUGUCCUGUCCUUUGAAUAUUGCAAGCUUGAAGGAUUUGCUACCUUGAUACUGCAUCCCUAUUCUACCGGAGAGCAAAAUCCACCAAUUUCUCCUCCCUAAGGCUCAACUCAUUCAUACCACUUGAUGAAGAUCUUACGCACACCCAUACACCUUGUAAGAUUGUGGACUUCCUGAACUGCUGGCGAGUGGGUGCCCAAUAAAUACUGAUUGAGUCGGACAGGUCAGAAUUAACCUCUUCAACUUUCAAGUUAUCAAAUAGGCUAUUACUAAAGCAGAAGAAAGUGAUCUAGGCCAGCUUUAGGUAAUUCCCCUUUUGACAUUUUUAAGGGCGGAAAUUCAUGAAGGGCGAGACACUCAUGAAUAAUAGAAAGAAGGGACUAACAAAGUGAGCCCACUAUGGAACUAAUUCCCUUCUGGACUGUGAAAAUGUGUGUUCGCCCCUAAACCCUAGCAUCGUGCAAACCCGUUAGGAAAAUGAAUAUGGAGCCAUUUGUCCAUGCCCUAAAAUAAGUCAUAGAGGUUAUAUUAAGAACCAGGCAUAAAGAGGGUGGGUUGUAAAACAGUAAACUAGAUCACACACACACACAUAUAUAUAUGUAACAAUAAUAGUAAUUGCGGUAUUAAGUGAUUGUUAUUUGCAAAGCACUGGUUUAGACACAAAAGAAUAAGAUCGAAUACAUCCCCUGCCCCACAGGGGGCUCACAUUCCAGAGAAGGGUAGAGGGGAAGGGAUAUUUUUUCCCCAGUUUACAGCUGAGGAAGCUGAGACAGAGAGAAGUGAUUUGCCCCAAGGAUACGGGGCGGUCCAGCGGCAGAAGCGGGAUCAGAACCCCAGGUCCCCGAAGUCCAGCCACGUGCCCUUUCCAUUAGGCCAAGCUGUUCUCAUUCACAGAUAUGAUAUAUAAAACUUUGAGUAUAUACGUCUUAGUCUACAGCCCAUCCGGAACGCAAAAUAUUCGCAAUAUCCUUGAGAAUUACAUUUAGAGGUGUGAAACAGGCA